This 201-nucleotide long non-coding RNA is filed under the name Arachis ipaensis. Its description in RNAcentral is "long non-coding RNA (AIPA_LNC000448)". The record is from RNAcentral. Lineage: Eukaryota; Viridiplantae; Streptophyta; Magnoliopsida; Fabales; Fabaceae.
CAUACUAUGUUGUUGUUUUUCAGAUGCAGGUCGGGAGCCAUCUCGUUAGGCGUCUGGACUCUUAAAGCGGAGGGGUUACUUGAUAGUGUUGUUGUACAGUGAUGUAUAUAUAUGUACUUAGCUUUCUCUCCGCAUAACUUGUCCUUUUUGAUCCUCUUAGAAGUUUAUGGAGAGGCAGGAUUGUGUGUAUGUACUUUUGGG